CAGAGUGAGGGAGCGGGUGACACAGUGACAGAGUUAGGGAGGGAGUGACUAGUGACAGAGAGAGGGAUGGGGUGACUAGUGACAGUCACCCCCCCUCACUCUGUCACUAGUCACCCCUUCCCUCCCUCACUUUGCCACUAGUCAUCUCUUCCCUCCCUCACUCUGUCACUAGUCACCCAUUCCCUCACUCUGU
Pelobates cultripes (western spadefoot toad) is the source of this 193-nucleotide non-coding RNA. Lineage: Eukaryota; Metazoa; Chordata; Amphibia; Anura; Pelobatidae. The record is from the annotation of a GenBank genome assembly.